Long non-coding RNA from Rosa chinensis, 1671 nucleotides. RefSeq lists it as uncharacterized. NCBI's taxonomy places the organism in Eukaryota, Viridiplantae, Streptophyta, Magnoliopsida, Rosales, Rosaceae. The record is from RefSeq and is a predicted model, not a curated record. The transcript has 8 exons.
ACAAAAUUUCAUUUGCCUCCAACACUUGAGUCAGUUUCCCACGCGAUAAUUCUCUCUCAAACCCUAGACACCACGACACCCGUCCUCCUCUUCCUUAUCCUCCACCUCCGACCAGCACCCGACUACUCUCUGCUGCAGCCACCGCCUCCACUCUCCUCCUUCUCCGCCUCCGCCUCCGCUAUCCUCCUCCUCUUCUUCCUUUGGCACACCUGUUCUCUCAUCUCUCUUCUCAAAUUCACCAGAUUCGCCAAAGACGCAGUCCACGCCGGAGCUCCGCCUUGCCCCUCCUCCUUCUCUUUUCUCCUUCCACCCCGACGGUAUCACUUUCAUCUUUAUCCUCUCAAUUUUGCUUGAAAUUCUCUUCAUGUUCAGUGCCUUUUAGAUUCCUUCGUUGUUGGUUUUCGAUAUUGCAAUGGGUGUUUGUGUAAUUUGGAGGUGAUAGAGUGAUGGGUAUUGGGUAGUCGAAAAUUUGCUGAUAAUCUGGUAGUUGUUGAUGGAGUGAUGGGUAUUUCGUUUCUGGAUUGUGUUUCUGGGUUUUGGGGGUUGUGUUUGAGGUAUAUGUAAUGGGUUUUGAGGUAGCUGUAAUGUGUUUGAGAAGCUAAGCGCCUUCUUCUUCUUCACAAAGAACUAGAAAGAGAACGGGAAGCUCUCAAGGCCUCAAUCAUCUUCUCCAGUUUCAGGCGCAGAUUUUUUGGAUGGCCACAGAAGAAUUCAAUUGCUUCGAUUCCUCUAAGAAAGGAUGAUGACGUAGAAAGCCAAAUUGGAGCAGGGUGUCUUAAUGUGAAGGUCAGAUGAAUGGUUCACCAUACCCGAGGAGAGUUGAUAUAAUCUCCAACCUAUUGCAGCUAUGUGUAACUAUUGUUGGCUUUGAAAAAGAAUGUUCAGCUGCGUUAUGAUGGCCUCCGUGCAGACAUGCAAAAGUGAAAGUUAUAGUAACAACUAAUGAUCGACUGCUAUCAUCCUCUACUGCCUAAAGCUGCUCCAUUAUAUAUAUAUUCAAGAUUGAGGAAGUACAUUCACCUAUAACGAAUAGUUCUCUUGGUCAAAGCCUCAAAACAAGUACCCAUAUCUGGGAAAUUUGUUUUGCAGUUUCUGUUUCAAUGUGUGGGUUGGUACUAUUUGCAUUUCUUAUUGGUAACAUGCAGAUACUUAGGUGCGGCAGGAUAUGCAGUUUAACUCUUGUAUGUUUGUAAUAUAUUUCACUCGAGUGACUAAUGCAGCAGCUGACACGGCAUUCGACGUCGGAGAAUUUUGUGAUGCAUUGCAGUACCUCUCUUACGACUUCAGAUCAGAAUGACAAGGAUUUGGAUCGGGCGAGUGAGAGGCAGGAUCUUGAAGGAAAGGAGCUAAAGCAAGAAACUACUUUGCAUGAACUGGAGCCGGUUGCCGUCCAUGCUCUUCAUGAAUUUGUUUCUUUAGUUCGCAGUCAUGUCAAUGCUGCAGAGCAAUAUGAUUUUGAGUAAGGCUAGAUUUUGCUGACCAUUUUGUAGUAGAUGUAGUGAUAUCAGGAUGAAUUGCGGACAAAUUAUACUGCAUGUAGUUAUUGCAGUAGUGGUAUCUUCUAGACUAUCCUUAAAGUAGGUUAGGGUUUAUUGUGCAAAACUUUUGAAGCUACCUCAAGCUCUAAUUUUGGAUAGAAAUUAAUGCAAUUACCUAAUAUUUGAAUUUCAU